GAUGAACGCUGGCGGCGUGCCUAAUACAUGCAAGUCGAGCGAACGGACGAGAAGCUUGCUUCUCUGAUGUUAGCGGCGGACGGGUGAGUAACACGUGGAUAACCUACCUAUAAGACUGGGAUAACUUCGGGAAACCGGAGCUAAUACCGGAUAAUAUUUUGAACCGCAUGGUUCAAAAGUGAAAGACGGUCUUGCUGUCACUUAUAGAUGGAUCCGCGCUGCAUUAGCUAGUUGGUAAGGUAACGGCUUACCAAGGCAACGAUGCAUAGCCGACCUGAGAGGGUGAUCGGCCACACUGGAACUGAGACACGGUCCAGACUCCUACGGGAGGCAGCAGUAGGGAAUCUUCCGCAAUGGGCGAAAGCCUGACGGAGCAACGCCGCGUGAGUGAUGAAGGUCUUCGGAUCGUAAAACUCUGUUAUUAGGGAAGAACAUAUGUGUAAGUAACUGUGCACAUCUUGACGGUACCUAAUCAGAAAGCCACGGCUAACUACGUGCCAGCAGCCGCGGUAAUACGUAGGUGGCAAGCGUUAUCCGGAAUUAUUGGGCGUAAAGCGCGCGUAGGCGGUUUUUUAAGUCUGACGUGAAAGCCCACGGCUCAACCGUGGAGGGUCAUUGGAAACUGGAAAACUUGAGUGCAGAAGAGGAAAGUGGAAUUCCAUGUGUAGCGGUGAAAUGCGCAGAGAUAUGGAGGAACACCAGUGGCGAAGGCGACUUUCUGGUCUGUAACUGACGCUGAUGUGCGAAAGCGUGGGGAUCAAACAGGAUUAGAUACCCUGGUAGUCCACGCCGUAAACGAUGAGUGCUAAGUGUUAGGGGGUUUCCGCCCCUUAGUGCUGCAGCUAACGCAUUAAGCACUCCGCCUGGGGAGUACGACCGCAAGGUUGAAACUCAAAGGAAUUGACGGGGACCCGCACAAGCGGUGGAGCAUGUGGUUUAAUUCGAAGCAGCGCGAAGAACCUUACCAAAUCUUGACAUCCUUUGACAACUCUAGAGAUAGAGCCUUCCCCUUCGGGGGACAAAGUGACAGGUGGUGCAUGGUUGUCGUCAGCUCGUGUCGUGAGAUGUUGGGUUAAGUCCCGCAACGAGCGCAACCCUUAAGCUUAGUUGCCAUCAUUAAGUUGGGCACUCUAAGUUGACUGCCGGUGACAAACCGGAGGAAGGUGGGGAUGACGUCAAAUCAUCAUGCCCCUUAUGAUUUGGGCUACACACGUGCUACAAUGGACAAUACAAAGGGCAGCGAAACCGCGAGGUCAAGCAAAUCCCAUAAAGUUGUUCUCAGUUCGGAUUGUAGUCUGCAACUCGACUACAUGAAGCUGGAAUCGCUAGUAAUCGUAGAUCAGCAUGCUACGGUGAAUACGUUCCCGGGUCU
This 1372-nucleotide ribosomal RNA is filed under the name uncultured bacterium. Its description in RNAcentral is "bacterial SSU rRNA". It matches the Rfam family "Bacterial small subunit ribosomal RNA", at positions 28 to 1381 of the family's 1533-position model. The record is from RNAcentral.